Molecule: ribosomal RNA, 481 nt
Filed under: uncultured bacterium
Lineage: Bacteria
Description: partial 16S ribosomal RNA
Rfam family: Bacterial small subunit ribosomal RNA
Source: RNAcentral
UUGAACGCUGGCGGCAUGCCUUACACAUGCAAGUCGAACGGUAACGGGCCUUCGGGUGCCGACGAGUGGCGAACGGGUGAGUAAUACAUCGGAACAUGCCCGAUCGUGGGGGAUAACGAGGCGAAAGCUUUGCUAAUACCGCAUACGAUCUACGGAUGAAAGCAGGGGACCGCAAGGCCUUGCGCGGACGGAGCGGCCGAUGGCAGAUUAGGUAGUUGGUGGGAUAAAAGCUUACCAAGCCGACGAUCUGUAGCUGGUCUGAGAGGAUGAUCAGCCACACUGGGACUGAGACACGGCCCAGACUCCUACGGGAGGCAGCAGUGGGGAAUUUUGGACAAUGGGCGCAAGCCUGAUCCAGCCAUGCCGCGUGCAGGAUGAAGGCCUUCGGGUUGUAAACUGCUUUUGUACGGAACGAAAAGCCUUCUUUUAAUACAGGAGGGUCAUGACGGUACCGGAAGAAUAAGCACCGGCUAACUACGUG